This 427-nucleotide ribosomal RNA is filed under the name uncultured bacterium. Its description in RNAcentral is "bacterial SSU rRNA". It matches the Rfam family "Bacterial small subunit ribosomal RNA", at positions 355 to 774 of the family's 1533-position model. The record is from RNAcentral.
UGAGGAAUAUUGGACAAUGGGCGCAAGCCUGAUCCAGCAAUGCCGCGUGCAGGGUGAAGGCCUUCGGGUUGUAAACUGCUUUUGUACGGAGCGAAAAGGUCUGCCCUAAUACGGUGGGCUCAUGACGGUACCGUAAGAAUAAGCACCGGCUAACUACGUGCCAGCAGCCGCGGUAAUACGUAGGGUGCGAGCGUUAAUCGGAAUUACUGGCCGUAAAGCGUGCGCAGGCGGUUAUAUAAGACAGAUGUGAAAUCCCCGGGCUCAACCUGGGACCUGCAUUUGUGACUGUAUAGCUAGAGUACGGUAGAGGGGGAUGGAAUUCCGCGUGUAGCAGUGAAAUGCGUAGAUAUGCGGAGGAACACCGAUGGCGAAGGCAAUCCCCUGGACCUGUACUGACGCUCAUGCACGAAAGCGUGGGGAGCAAACA